Molecule: small nuclear RNA, 94 nt
Organism: Aotus nancymaae (Ma's night monkey)
Lineage: Eukaryota; Metazoa; Chordata; Mammalia; Primates; Aotidae
Source: Ensembl
GUGCUUGCUUCGGCAGCACAUAUACUAAAACGAGAGCAAUCCAGAGGAGAUUAGCAAGGAUGACACGCAAAUUUGUGAAGAGUUCUCUAUUAAA